This 266-nucleotide unclassified non-coding RNA is filed under the name Hevea brasiliensis (rubber tree). The record is from RNAcentral. Lineage: Eukaryota; Viridiplantae; Streptophyta; Magnoliopsida; Malpighiales; Euphorbiaceae.
CCCCACUUUCCCUCACUUUCUCAUCCCCCAAACACCACCUGAAGCUUCCCUCCUCCUCCUUCAGGCCUUACUCUCGCAAAUCUCCGAUCAAGAUGUCAACAACAACUAUCGAACACAUUGUCCUCUUCAAAGUCAAAGACAACACGGACCCCACCGAAGUCAACACCAUGCUCACCUCUCUCAACGCCCUCGUCUCUCUUGACCCCGUGCUCCACCUUGCCGCCGCUCCACUCUACCGCACCAAAUCCUCUCCCAUCCCCUUCACU